CAAUGUAGCUCAGGGGUAGAGCACUUCCUUGGUAAGGAAGAGGUCAUGGGUUCAAUUCCCAUCAUUGG
This 68-nucleotide transfer RNA is filed under the name bovine gut metagenome. It matches the Rfam family "tRNA". From Rfam's summary of the family: Transfer RNA (tRNA) molecules are approximately 80 nucleotides in length. Their secondary structure includes four short double-helical elements and three loops (D, anti-codon, and T loops). Further hydrogen bonds mediate the characteristic L-shaped molecular structure. tRNAs have two regions of fundamental functional importance: the anti-codon, which is responsible for specific mRNA codon recognition, and the 3' end, to which the tRNAs corresponding amino acid is attached (by aminoacyl-tRNA synthetases). tRNAs cope with the degeneracy of the genetic code in two manners: having more than one tRNA (with a specific anti-codon) for a particular amino acid; and 'wobble' base-pairing, i.e. permitting non-standard base-pairing at the 3rd anti-codon position. The record is from RNAcentral.